Molecule: ribosomal RNA, 161 nt
Filed under: Orbiliaceae sp.
Lineage: Eukaryota; Fungi; Ascomycota; Orbiliomycetes; Orbiliales; Orbiliaceae
Description: partial large subunit ribosomal RNA
Rfam family: Eukaryotic large subunit ribosomal RNA
Source: RNAcentral
CGGCAACAGCUCAAAUUUGAAAUCUGGCCUUUGGCCCGAGUUGUAAUUUGUAGAGGAUGCUUUUGGUGCGGUGCCUUCCGAGUUCCCUGGAACGGGACGCCUUAGAGGGUGAGAAUCCCGUAUGUGACUGGCCGCCUUCGCCUAUGUGAAGCUCUUUCGAC